Long non-coding RNA from Corapipo altera (White-ruffed manakin), 439 nucleotides. RefSeq lists it as uncharacterized. NCBI's taxonomy places the organism in Eukaryota, Metazoa, Chordata, Aves, Passeriformes, Pipridae. The transcript is spliced from 2 exons. The record is from RefSeq and is a predicted model, not a curated record.
GCAGACUUGGGGGCUCCUGAGGCUCCUCCCUGCCCAGCUGAUGUCCUUGGCUGUAGCCUGCAUUGUCCUGGUCAUGUAGCACAGCUGGAGCCAAAUAGCAGUUUAGACCAUGGCCUGGAUGAGGUCAGCCCACAGCAAAAGACAGGACAGGCUUCAGGCUGUAGCCCUAUUGCUCGGACGGGAGGAGAAUCAUGCUGUGAUUGGGAAAUUUUGUGUCUGACCACCCUGAGCAACCACUGUUGGCUGAAUGGCAUUCUCAGGCUUCACACACUCUGGAUCAGUUGUGCUGGACACAGGGAAGGACAUGCUAUGCCACUCAGGACAACUCUGUGAGCCCAGGAACUGUGCACAGGGAGAAGCAUGGUCUGCUUUGGGAGAAGGGGACACACAUCUGUAUUUGUGGGUUCAAUCUAUAAAUAAUAAAUACUGAGAGAGCAAA